This 254-nucleotide ribosomal RNA is filed under the name uncultured bacterium. RNAcentral's name for it is "partial 16S ribosomal RNA". It matches the Rfam family "Bacterial small subunit ribosomal RNA", at positions 524 to 776 of the family's 1533-position model. The record is from RNAcentral.
UACGUAGGGUGCAAGCGUUGUCCGGAAUUAUUGGGCGUAAAAGAGCUCGUAGGCGGUUUGUCGCGUCGGCUGUGAAAGCCCGGAGCUCAACUCCGGGUCUGCAGUCGAUACGGGCAGACUUGAGUGUUGCAGGGGAGACUGGAAUUCCUGGUGUAGCGGUGAAAUGCGCAGAUAUCAGGAGGAACACCGGUGGCGAAGGCGGCUCACUGGCCCGAUACUGACGCUGAGGCACGAAAGCGUGGGGAGCAAACAGG